CCUACGGGUGGCUGCAGUGGGGAAUAUUGGACAAUGGGGGGAACCCUGAUCCAGCCAUGCCGCGUGUGUGAAGAAGGCCCUCGGGUUGUAAAGCACUUUCAGUGAGGAAGAACGCCUGGUGGUUAAUACCCAUCAGGAAAGACAUCACUCACAGAAGAAGCACCGGCUAACUCCGUGCCAGCAGCCGCGGUAAUACGGAGGGUGCGAGCGUUAAUCGGAAUUACUGGGCGUAAAGCGCGCGUAGGUGGCUUGAUAAGCCGGUUGUGAAAGCCCCGGGCUCAACCUGGGAACGGCAUCCGGAACUGUCAAGCUAGAGUGCAGGAGAGGAAGGUGGAAUUCCCGGUGUAGCGGUGAAAUGCGUAGAGAUCGGGAGGAAUACCAGUGGCGAAGGCGGCCUUCUGGACUGACACUGACACUGAGGUGCGAAAGCGUGGGUAGCAAACAGGAUUAGAUACCCUUGUAGUC
RNAcentral lists this ribosomal RNA (465 nucleotides) under Vreelandella stevensii. Its description in RNAcentral is "partial 16S ribosomal RNA". It matches the Rfam family "Bacterial small subunit ribosomal RNA", at positions 338 to 795 of the family's 1533-position model. Lineage: Bacteria; Pseudomonadati; Pseudomonadota; Gammaproteobacteria; Oceanospirillales; Halomonadaceae. The record is from RNAcentral.